GUGUCAGCAGCCGCGGUAAUACAGAGACUGCAAGCGUUACUCGGAAUCACUGGGCGUAAAGGGAGCGCAGGCGGACCGAUGUGUCAGGUGUGAAACUCCGGAGCUCAACUCCGGGACUGCGCCUGAAACUGUCGGUCUAGGGACUCGGAGGGGCUAGUGGAAUUCCUGGUGGAGCAGUGAAAUGCGUAGAUAUCAGGAGGAACACCAACGGCGAAGGCAGCUAGCUGGACGAGAUCCGACGCUCAGGCUCGAAAGUAUGGGGAGCAAAAAGGAUUAGAUACCCUCGUAGUCC
RNAcentral lists this ribosomal RNA (292 nucleotides) under uncultured bacterium. RNAcentral's name for it is "partial 16S ribosomal RNA". It matches the Rfam family "Bacterial small subunit ribosomal RNA", at positions 505 to 796 of the family's 1533-position model. The record is from RNAcentral.